This 272-nucleotide long non-coding RNA is filed under the name Lathyrus oleraceus (garden pea). Its description in RNAcentral is "Pisum sativum (pea) long non-coding RNA (PSAT_LNC037057)". The record is from RNAcentral. Lineage: Eukaryota; Viridiplantae; Streptophyta; Magnoliopsida; Fabales; Fabaceae.
UUCAUUCAAAAAUUUGAAGUUUCCUGCUCCGCCGCUCCAAAGCUCUUUGCCGGUGACGAGGCUCAAAUCACCAUAUGAGGCUACCAAACUCAACCUCUCAACAUGCUGAAACCAAAUCCAAAUCUUAAUUCAAACAGAAACCAAACAUCAGACCAAAUCGUAGGAACAUAAGUAUGAACCCUAGAACUAGGAAAGUAAAAUUAAAUGGUGGAUUGGAACAUGACGACUCUGAAACCGUAGGGUAAAUACUCCCCUAAGUGAACUCUACAAGU